This 253-nucleotide ribosomal RNA is filed under the name uncultured bacterium. RNAcentral describes it as "partial 16S ribosomal RNA". It matches the Rfam family "Bacterial small subunit ribosomal RNA", at positions 524 to 776 of the family's 1533-position model. The record is from RNAcentral.
UACGGAGGGUGCAAGCGUUGUCCGGAUUUAUUGGGUUUAAAGGGUGCGUAGGCGGCCCGGUAAGUCAGUGGUGAAAGCCUCCAGCUCAACUGGAGAACUGCCAUUGAUACUGCCGGGCUUGAGUACAGACGAGGUUGGCGGAAUUGAUUGUGUAGCGGUGAAAUGCUUAGAUAUGACACAGAACACCGAUUGCGAAGGCAGCUAACUAAGCCAUAACUGACGCUGAUGCACGAAAGCGUGGGGAGCAAACAGG